GGCAAGCCCCACCCCCACUGCAGCCACGGCCAAUGAAAGGGGAGGGCGGAGCUGCUGCUCAGAGCCGGGACAGACAAUGGACUUAGGAGCCGACGCGGUGGUGGCCCAAGAAGAGAAAUAGGUGGCCCAAAAAUGGCUGGCAAGGAGGCUGCUGUCAGGCAGGGAGGCAGAGAGGUAGCUGGGUGGCGGGCAAAGCCCCGCCGCCUGGAGGAGGCCUCCGGUGGGCUCAGGAGGAGGUGUGGUGGUGGCAGGGCCCAGCCGAAAAAGGCGGCCUACCGCUCGGACAACGGGCUUAGGAGGCGAUGCGGCGGCGGCAUGGCCACCCGAAAAUGGCUGGCAGGGAGGGAGGGAGCUGGGUGGCAGGCAAAGCUCCACUGCCUGGAGGAGGCUGCCGCCGGGCUCAGGAAGAGGCGCGGUGGCAGCGGGGCCCAGCCAAAAAUGGCGGCCCGCCGCCCGGUGAGGAAGAGGCGCGGUGGCAGUGGGGCCAGGCCGAAAAGGGCCUGUUGCCACACAGAGGUAGAGAAAAUGACCCGCUGCCUGGUAAGGAGGAGGCGUGGCAGCGGGGCCCGGGCGGAGGGCAGCGGGGACUGGGGCAGUAGUAUACUGUCGCACAGAUGCUCUGUGCGGGUUCCGCUGGUUAUUUUUAAUAUACAAGUACUCAUCAACACUGCAGCUGGCAAGCACCAUUGCAAAACAGACAUUCUGCUUUUCUCUCACAUAAGAGAGGGACAGAGGUCUUUCCCACUCCUACCUAAAGAUGCCAGGGAUUGAACCAGGGAUUUCCUGCAUGCAAAAAAAAAGUUCACACCAGGGCCCUGCCUAGGCCAGUUGGGCUUUAGGUAGAAUAGUAGAAUUCUAGAGUUGGAAGGGACCUGGGAGGUGUUCUAGUCCAGCCCCUUGUUCAGUGCAGGACACUGUGAAAUCAUUCACCCUGUGAUGCAGAUUUGCUCCCUCAUUGUCUGAUCCUAGGUUUUUCCCCAUUCACUGAGCUACACCAGAUGAAGCAGAAGCUUGCAGUACAGCAGCAAAAGCAACAUUCAGUAGUACAACUGGGGCAAAGCUAGUCUGCUUGCCUGCAGGACCACUAAACGUGCCUUGCCCUUUCCCCCCUGCUAAGUAUUUGGCAGAUUUGAGCUGGAGCUAGGGGUCUGUGAGCAGCACUGAUAGCUUUGGGGAUUUGUCACAGGCAGGCAGACUUCUUUCUCAUGUCUUCUGUGCCAGGCAGGAGAUGACACACUGAGGAUAGGGCAGGGUUGUAGUCCUGGGGCGAGGAGACAAGGUGAGGGAGCUUAGUGGAUAUAAAAUGUAAAAAAUAAAAAUAAAUAAAAUAGUGCCAGAUCUCAGACUCUGCCAGUACACAGAAUGUACUCGUUUCCUUGUGAGAAAUACUGAAUAAUGCACAGUGAUAUCUGCAUAGAUACCAAAAGACAUCCGCUGACAUGAUGAGGAAAAUUACUCCAAGUAGCCCCAGCGAAAUGAAAAGAAGUUAAUAGAAUGCCCAGGGGCAGAGCCAUCGUUGUGCGGAUGGGUCCAAAGAACCUGGCCGCCACUCUCUCUGGAGCCGGCCCACCCAACCUAGCCACGCCCUCUGCAUCUGACAUCCAAUGCAGGGGGCAUGGCCAUAUGCAGAAACGGUGCCACGCGGCCCCGUUAGCAAGGCGCUUCACCCAGUGCUGGGUUUCCAGCCUGGCUAGCAGUGCCUUUCUCUACCUUGAAAGGCAGAGAGAUGCAUUUCCAGCCAGGGUGGGAACCCAGAGCUGUCUGAAGCAUCUCACAAAGGAGGCCACCUGGGGCCUCGGUGCAGGGGUGUGGCAAGGGCACCUAGGGGAUGCCGGUGGUGGGUUGCACUCACACCGCCACUGGUUUCCUACGCACCUGAUAAUGCCUUUUAAUUUCAAUGGGGCUACUUUGAAUAAUGCCAGCUAUCAAAGAUAGCAAGGGCUAGGAAACUGUCAUUCUUUGGCAGCAUAGGUCAACUUAAAUACCCACAUCCACAUGGUUCUAGGGCUGAGACGUGACACUGAAAAAGGUUCGGGGGCUGAGCCCUAAGAUAUUCUGGUUCAAAUUUGGGCCAGCAUGCCCCCCCCACUCCAUCUCUGCACCAGUUCACCACGCACCUGGAAUGCCGUCUGGCCAUGGUUGUUCUUGAUCUCUUUGUUUGCUCCCCGGUAUAGCAGGAUGCGGGCACAGCUCUCCUGGGGGUGGGGAAUGGGGGUGAGAGGAGAAAGAGAUAAGGAAUUAAUCAGGGUCACUUUCAGUCCACAGCACUCACAGCGGGCAGGUGUGUGCAUCCAGAGUUCUGCAUAAAUGAGAUUGUGCCAAUAAUGUAUUUACAAUUGUAGGACCCAACGUGGUUAACAAGAUUUUAUUUUGUUCAUCCACAUCUCGGUGAGAUAGACAGAACACACCGUUCUUCCCAUUAUACAGCCAGAAGAAGUGAGGCUUGUAAAACAAUUUGCAAAAAGCUUCUCUUGGCUGUAAUUGAACAAGGGCAGGGGGAAUGUCACUUGGCCGCUAUGGGGAGGGUGUGUGUGUCUGCCAGCUCAGAGACAGCUUGCUGUUUUCUCUCACCCUCCUGCCUCUCGGAGGAAGGCAAGAGGGCAGGGGCCCAUCUUCACUUUUUGUCCCAGGGUCCACUCCAACCUUGCUAUGCCUCAGCUUCGUGAGUCCACAGAUAGCCUGGGGUUUUAACACAUGUCUCCUAGUCCAAAACCAAUAUUCUGCAGUCACUGGACUAUACAGAUACCAAGCUUUCAUCUAAAAGACCGUUAAGCAGAGAGAGUCCACAUCGGGAUGGAGUUUCGUAUCCCUGACCUGGGCCAGUAGUCGCAGGGACUUUGGCAGAUGCAGGGCUAGGAGCGACAGUCAGCGUGACCCUGUGCCUCCUUGUCAAUUCAGGUAAAGCAGAGGAAAAUUCCAAAGACCUGCUCGAGUGGCAGUUGAUGAAAGACUGAGGUACAGCUGCAAGAGAUUCCUGCUUGACACCUUGGAGAGCCGCGGCCAGUCAGUGUAGACAAUGCUGAGCUAGAUGGACCAAUGGCUGACUCAGUAUGAGGCAGCUUCCUAUGCUCCUAUGACAGAAUACUGCAGGUUGUGAAGAGGAACAGAAUGGAGCUGGGCCUGGUGUUUAAACCCCCUGAACAUCUUAUGGGCAAGGAAUGGGUUCUGGUGCAUAUGUUUUAAUUGUGUUUUAAUAUUUUUAACUUUUUAAUUGUUGGUGUUACCAGUAUGCUGAUGAUACCCAGAUCUACUUCUCCGUGUCAACUUCUUCAGGAGUUGGCAUAUCCUCCCUAAAUGCCUGCCUGGAAGCAGUAAUGGGCUGGAUGAGGGAGAAUAAGCUGAAGCUGAAUCCAGAUAAGACGGAGGUACUUAUAGUGUGGGGUCGGAACUCUAGAGACGAUUUUGAUCUGCCUGUUCUAGACGGGGUCACACUUCCCCGAAAGGAACAGGUUCGCAGUCUGGGGGGACUUCUGGAUCAACGUCUCUCCUUGGUUUCUCAGGUUAAGGCGGUGGCCAGGGGUGCUUUCUAUCAGCUCCGGCUGAUACGCCAGCUGCGCCCGUUUCUCGAGAUCAAUGACCUCAAAACAGUGGUACAUUUGUUGGUAACCUCCAGACUGGACUUCUGUAAUGCGCUCUACGUGGGGCUGCCUUUGUACGUAGUCCGGAAACUUCAGUUGGUUCAGAAUGCGGCAGCCAGGUUGGUCUCUGGGUCAUCUUGGAGAGACCACAUUACUCCUUUGUUGAUGGAGUUACAGUGGCUGCCAAUAGGUUUCCGGGCAAAAUACAAAGUGCUAGUCAUAACUUAUAAAGCCCUAAACGGCUUAGGCCCUGGGUAUUUAAGAGAGCAUCUUCUUCGCUAUGAGCCCCACCGGCCGCUGAGGUCACUUGAGGAGGUCCAUCUCCAGUUGCCACCAACUCGUUUGGUGGCUACACAGAGACGGGCCUUCUCAGCUGCUGCCCCGAGAUUGUGGAAUGCGCUCCCUGCUGAGAUAUGAUCCUCCCCAUCUCUGGCAAUUUUCAGAAAACACCUGAAAACACAUCUCUUCAACCAGGCUUUCUCAGCUUUUUAAAACUUGUUUUUAAAUUGUUUUGAUUAUUUAAUUGUUGUUUUAUGAUGUUUUUAAUUGUUAAUCAUUGUUUUAUGUUUUAUAAUUUUUGUUUAAUUAUUAAUUGAUUUUAAUGGUGUUUUAAUGUAA
Hemicordylus capensis (graceful crag lizard) is the source of this 4196-nucleotide long non-coding RNA. RefSeq lists it as uncharacterized. Lineage: Eukaryota; Metazoa; Chordata; Lepidosauria; Squamata; Cordylidae. The record is from RefSeq and is a predicted model, not a curated record. The transcript has 5 exons.